Molecule: non-coding RNA, 1201 nt
Organism: Camelina sativa (false flax)
Lineage: Eukaryota; Viridiplantae; Streptophyta; Magnoliopsida; Brassicales; Brassicaceae
Source: RefSeq, a predicted model, not a curated record
AUUUGCAUAUAAGAGACUAUACGUGUCACCAGAUGGUUGGGCAAAGAGAUAAAAAAAUUUGAUGGUCGAUUGAUUGCUUUUCUUCCUCUUCCUCUCUCUGUCUCUCGAAUCAGAGGAGAUUCGGGUCGGAGAAGAUGUGAAUUGGAGGACAUUGAAUCAGCGGAGUGGACAUGGUAGCUUCUCAAAUGAUCCGAGGUUGAACAAUGUGGUGGGACAUCUUCUUUAUUCCUCUAUUCUUGUACCUUACCAUGGCUGGAGAAUUAGCCACAAAACCAUGGACAUGUUGAGAACGACGAAUCUUGGCAUCCUUGGGCUGAAGUCCGGGGAAAAAGGGUUCUCAUUACCAUCGGGACAGCGAAUUGUUCCUCCCUAAAGAGAAAACGGAUGUCCUCAAUUCUACAGCUUGUUGGACUACAAUGGCUGCUCUGCUUAUCUGCCUCAACUUUGUUGUUGGUCCAGUUCAAAAUGCUCAAACUCUACGGGACUUCAGCAAGUGACUAGGAUCAGUACAUUGUUUUUUUUUUUUUCUAGAAGCAUACUUUUACUGACUCAACAACCUUCUAUCAGCGUAGAUACAUCAGGUGGUUAGUGGUCUUACCUAUUUUUUGUCUGCACAGAGUUAAAUGUAUAUCGACAAGUCAAUAAGAUUAUGGUAGGCUAGUGGACAGUUGUGCUUGAAAUACAUCUUCUCAUUUGGAGCCUUUGCUCGGAAGCCCCUCCUACAAAGUGCAUCAGAGUGGAAAGUGCCAACAACUUUUAUCUACAGAAUGAAUGAUUGGAUGACCACCCUGCAACAUUUCAAAUUUGAGAAGAAAACAAUAGAGAAGAAGAUGGUGCUUAUGUGAGAUUUUUGUUUAUUUGAAAUGUUGCAGGGUGGUCAUUUCGUGUUCAUAGACAAUCCAAGUGGUUUUCAUUCUGCAGUGCUUUAUGCUUGCCGUAAAUUUAAAUCUCAAGACUCCUCUCAUGAUCAACAACUCCCAGAUGGUUUACUAUUGGUUUAGUUGUAGUAUGAUGUUCCAUUACCUUUCAAAUUUGUUACAUAUGUAUACACGUAUAUAUAAAAAGAACAUCAAAAAAAAAAAAAUUUUAUAUUCCCUUAAUGGUUGUAUUUGGAGUUCCAAGAUCUUUAUAGUUCUAAAAGUUAUAUAUCUAGUGUUUUUGAUUAAAACCUCAUGAAUGUUCCAAAUGCAAUAUUUUCCUA